CAUAAGCCUGCCACAAUGCCAAUGUACCCCAUCUUUGACAAAUCUUUGACAAAGAUGGGGUACAUUGGCGUUGUGGCAGGCUUAUGCAAUGUAU
Pelobates cultripes (western spadefoot toad) is the source of this 94-nucleotide non-coding RNA. NCBI's taxonomy places the organism in Eukaryota, Metazoa, Chordata, Amphibia, Anura, Pelobatidae. The record is from the annotation of a GenBank genome assembly.